UUAAGUUCAGCGGGUAUUCCUACCUGAUCCGAGGUCAACCUGUGGAAAGAAUUGCUUCUUUUAACGGCCGGAACCCGCCGCACGACCUGAGCGUAAUGUUGCUACUGCGCUCGGUGUUGCUAGCGAGCCCGCCACUGGUUCAGGGCCUGCGGGCAGCCGCAGGUCCCCAACACAAGCGGGGCUUGAUGGUUGAAAUGACG
Molecule: unclassified non-coding RNA, 200 nt
Filed under: Ascomycota sp.
Lineage: Eukaryota; Fungi; Ascomycota
Description: partial internal transcribed spacer 2
Source: RNAcentral